GAGUUUGAUCAUGGCUCAGAUUGAACGCUGGCGGCAUGCCUUACACAUGCAAGUCGAACGGCAGCACGGGAGCUUGCUCCUGGUGGCGAGUGGCGAACGGGUGAGUAAUGCAUCGGAACGUAUCCUGGAGUGGGGGAUAACGUAGCGAAAGUUACGCUAAUACUGCAUAUUCUGUGAGCAGGAAAGCGGGGGACCUUCGGGCCUCGCGCUCUUGGAGCGGCCGAUGUCGGAUUAGCUAGUUGGUGAGGUAAAGGCUCACCAAGGCGACGAUCCGUAGCAGGUCUGAGAGGAUGAUCUGCCACACUGGAACUGAGACACGGUCCAGACUCCUACGGGAGGCAGCAGUGGGGAAUUUUGGACAAUGGGGGCAACCCUGAUCCAGCCAUGCCGCGUGAGUG
RNAcentral lists this ribosomal RNA (398 nucleotides) under bacterium enrichment culture clone ALO1_GLFRUDD03F0CIP. RNAcentral describes it as "bacterial SSU rRNA". It matches the Rfam family "Bacterial small subunit ribosomal RNA", at positions 9 to 407 of the family's 1533-position model. The record is from RNAcentral.